CCCUUAGAUGUUCUGGGCCGCACGCGCGCUACACUGAUGCAUUCAACGAGCCUAUCCUUGACCGACAGGUCCGGGUAAUCUUUGAAUCUGCAUCGUGACGGGGAUAGAUUAUUGCAAUUAUUAAUCUUCAACGAGGAAUGCCUAGUAGGCGCAAGUCAUCAGCUUGCGUCGAUUACGUCCCUGCCCUUUGUCCACACCGCCCGUCGCUCCUACCGAUUGGGUGUGCUGGUGAAAUGUUCGGAUCGGCCGUUUGUCGCGGUUUCCGCGUCAUGUGGCUGAGAAGUUCAUUAAACCCUCCCACCUAGAGGAAGGAGAAGUCGUAACA
This 325-nucleotide ribosomal RNA is filed under the name uncultured eukaryote. Its description in RNAcentral is "partial 18S ribosomal RNA". It matches the Rfam family "Eukaryotic small subunit ribosomal RNA", at positions 1470 to 1796 of the family's 1831-position model. The record is from RNAcentral.